UAACCACCGGUCCAUCCAGCCCCAUGCUUGC
This 31-nucleotide non-coding RNA is filed under the name Mus musculus (house mouse). The record is from RNAcentral. Lineage: Eukaryota; Metazoa; Chordata; Mammalia; Rodentia; Muridae.